GAUGAACGCUGGCGGCGUGCUUAACACAUGCAAGUCGAACGAACGACUAUUAACAGAACCUUUCGGGGCGAAGAAUAUAGAAGUUAGUGGCGGACGGGUGCGUAACGCGUGGGUAAUCUGCCUUUGUCAAAGGAAUAACUAUUCGAAAGAAUAGCUAAAACCGUAUAACAUAUUAAUAGGGCAUCCUAAUAAUAUCAAAACGAUAGUGGACAAAGAUGAGCCCGCGUCUGAUUAGCUAGUUGGUGAGAUAAAAGCCCACCAAGGCAACGAUCAGUAGCCGACCUGAGAGGGUGAACGGCCACAUUGGAACUGAGACACGGUCCAAACUCCUACGGGAGGCAGCAGUGGGGAAUAUUGCACAAUGGGGGGAACCCUGAUGCAGCAACGCCGCGUGAGUGAAGAAGGCAUUCGUGUCGUAAAACUCUGUAGUAGGGGAAGAAAGAAAUGACAGUACCCUAAAAGAAAGCCCCGGCUAACUACGUGCCAGCAGCCGCGGUGAUACGUAGGGGGCAAGCGUUAUCCGGAAUAACUGGGCGUAAAGGGUGCGCAGGUGGUUUAACAAGUUAGUGGUGAAAGGCAUAGGCUCAACCAAUGUAAGCCAUUAAAACUGUUUAACUUGAGUGCAGGAGAGGAAAGUGGAAUUCCUAGUGUAGCGGUGAAAUGCGUAGAUAUUAGGAGGAAUACCAGUGGCGAAGGCGACUUUCUGGACUGCAACUGACACUGAGGCACGAAAGCGUGGGGAGCAAACAGG
Molecule: ribosomal RNA, 751 nt
Filed under: uncultured Filifactor sp.
Lineage: Bacteria; Bacillati; Bacillota; Clostridia; Peptostreptococcales; Filifactoraceae
Description: bacterial SSU rRNA
Rfam family: Bacterial small subunit ribosomal RNA
Source: RNAcentral